GACGGAAAGACCCCGUGAACCUUUACUAUAGCUUGACACUGAACAUUGAGCCUUGAUGUGUAGGAUAGGUGGGAGGCUUUGAAGUGUGGACGCCAGUCUGCAUGGAGCCGACCUUGAAAUACCACCCUUUAAUGUUUGAUGUUCUAACGUGGACCCGUGAUCCGGGUUGCGGACAGUGUCUGGUGGGUAGUUUGACUGGGGCGGUCUCCUCCUAAAGAGUAACGGAGGAGCACGAAGGUUGGCUAAUCCUGGUCGGACAUCAGGAGGUUAGUGCAAUGGCAUAAGCCAGCUUGACUGCGAGCGUGACGGCGCGAGCAGGUGCGAAAGCAGGUCAUAGUGAUCCGGUGGUUCUGAAUGGAAGGGCCAUCGCUCAACGGAUAAAAGGUACUCCGGGGAUAACAGGCUGAUACCGCCCAAGAGUUCAUAUCGACGGCGGUGUUUGGCACCUCGAUGUCGGCUCAUCACAUCCUGGGGCUGAAGUAGGUCCCAAGGGUAUGGCUGUUCGCCAUUUAAAGUGGUACGCGAGCUGGGUUUAGAACGUCGUGAGACAGUUCGGUCCCUAUCUGCCGUGGGCGCUGGAGAACUGAGGGGGGCUGCUCCUAGUACGAGAGGACCGGAGUGGACGCAUCACUGGUGUUCGGGUUGUCAUGCCAAUGGCACUGCCCGGUAGCUAAAUGCGGAAGAGAUAAGUGCUGAAAGCAUCUAAGCACGAAACUUGCCCCGA
Molecule: ribosomal RNA, 724 nt
Filed under: Salmonella enterica
Lineage: Bacteria; Pseudomonadati; Pseudomonadota; Gammaproteobacteria; Enterobacterales; Enterobacteriaceae
Also listed under: 1 other name
Description: partial 23S ribosomal RNA
Rfam family: Bacterial large subunit ribosomal RNA
Source: RNAcentral